RNAcentral lists this long non-coding RNA (724 nucleotides) under Mytilus galloprovincialis (Mediterranean mussel). Lineage: Eukaryota; Metazoa; Mollusca; Bivalvia; Mytilida; Mytilidae. The record is from RNAcentral.
CAAUUUCUAUUAAUUGUUCAUAUUAAUGUGGCUGGAAAUAACAUAUCCAUUGGGAAAAAUAAUCUGACAGCAUUACAUUUCUUCAAACAAACUGACCGAAAGUGAGAAAAUGCAGCAUCAUAGAGUGAAGAUAUGUCCAUUAUUCUGACGGUCAUGCCGAAGCCAACUGUAAAAAAUAGAAAACAACACGUUUAAUAAUUCCAUGCGUCCGUAUAAGUACCGAAACCGUUGAAGAGCUAUAUAACAAAAAUAAAUAGCCAAAUUCAUCUAAAGUCAACCUUAGUUUCUUAAUAAUUACAAAAUUUAUAAAUGGCCAAUUUUAGAAAAGUUUGUUAUAUCAUGUCGGUACCGACGUACUGACUACCGAGCUGAUGAUACCUUCGGGGACUUAUAGUCCACCAGCAGAGGUAUCGACCCAGUGAUUGAAAACAACACGUGUUAUAAUUCCAUGCGUUCGAAGCGCUUUUCUGGAUUUACCUUCAUCAGGAACGCUCAAAGCCAAAGAAUUGAAAUCCGAGGAUGUAUAAGCCAAAACCGUUGAAGAGCUAUAUAACAAAAAUACCUAAAAUAAAUAGCCAAAUUAUUUUUACUCGUAUUUAAUUGCUGAAAAUUGCGUUAUCAGAAUAAACUAAGUUAUCUCUCUUUGUUAAGUGACACUUAAUUUUAAUAGGAAUAUAGAAGAUUGGAUAUAUUCAUCUCCCAUGUAUUUUUUUUUAUCCUCACG